UAGUCCACGUCGUAAACGAUGGAUACUAGCUGUAUGUCUACUUCAGGUAGAUGUGUGGCUAAGCGAAAGUGAUAAGUAUCCCACCUGGGGAGUACGAUCGCAAGAUUGAAACUCAAAGGAAUUGACGGGGGCCCGCACAAGCGGUGGAGCAUGUGGUUUAAUUCGAUGAUACGCGAGGAACCUUACCAGGGCUUAAAUGUAACGGGACAGAUCUAGAGAUAGAUCCUUCUUCGGACUCAUUACAAGGUGCUGCAUGGUUGUCGUCAGCUCGUGCCGUGAGGUGUCAGGUUAAGUCCUAUAACGAGCGCAACCCCCAUCGUUAGUUGCCAACGAGUAAUGUCGGGAACUCUAACGAAACUGCCGGUGCAAACCGUGAGGAAGGUGGGGAUGACGUCAAAUCAUCACGGGCCCUUACGUCCUGGGGCUACACACGUGCUACAAUGGUCGGGUACAGAGAGCAGGCCACUACGCGAGUAGGGAGCAAAUCUUU
RNAcentral lists this ribosomal RNA (490 nucleotides) under uncultured bacterium. RNAcentral's name for it is "bacterial SSU rRNA". It matches the Rfam family "Bacterial small subunit ribosomal RNA", at positions 791 to 1276 of the family's 1533-position model. The record is from RNAcentral.